AGACAAUAGAUACCCGGGUAGUCCACGCAGUAAAUGAUGCAGACUAGGCGUGGGGGGACUUGACCCCCUCCGUGCCGGAGCUAAACGCGGGAAGUCUGCCGCCUGGGGAGUACGGCCGCAAGGCUAAAAACUCAAAGGAAUUGACGGGGGCCCGCACAAGCGGUGGAGCGUGCGGUUUAAUUCGACGCAACGCGCAGAACCUUACCAGGGCUUGACAUGCGACUGCAGAGCCGGGAAACCGGUUGGCCUUUGAGGGGGUCGCACAGGUGCUGCAUGGCUGUCGUCAGCUCGUGUCGUGAGAUGUUGGGUUAAGUCCCGCAACGAGCGCAACCCUCGGGGGUAGUUGUCGAUGUUUCUACCCCGACUGCCGCGAGCAACGCGGAGGAAGGUGGGGAUGACGUCAAGUCAGCAUGGCCCUUACGUCCUGGGCAACACGCACGCUACAAUGGGGGGACAAUGGGUAGCCAAGCGGCAACGCGGAGCGAAU
RNAcentral lists this ribosomal RNA (487 nucleotides) under uncultured bacterium. RNAcentral's name for it is "bacterial SSU rRNA". It matches the Rfam family "Bacterial small subunit ribosomal RNA", at positions 775 to 1272 of the family's 1533-position model. The record is from RNAcentral.